UGAUGAAAUGAUAAUGCCGGAACUUUCC
Molecule: small RNA, 28 nt
Filed under: Bombyx mori (domestic silkworm)
Lineage: Eukaryota; Metazoa; Arthropoda; Insecta; Lepidoptera; Bombycidae
Description: ovarian small RNA-32770
Source: RNAcentral